This 82-nucleotide transfer RNA is filed under the name Oryctolagus cuniculus (rabbit). It matches the Rfam family "tRNA". Rfam says of the family: Transfer RNA (tRNA) molecules are approximately 80 nucleotides in length. Lineage: Eukaryota; Metazoa; Chordata; Mammalia; Lagomorpha; Leporidae. The record is from Rfam by way of RNAcentral.
GGCGCUGUGGCGUAGCGGGUAACGCCCUGGCCUGCAGCGCCAGCAUCCCAUAUGGGCGCCGGUUCGAGUCCCGGCUGCUCCA